UACGAAGGGGGCUAGCGUUGCUCGGAAUCACUGGGCGUAAAGCGCACGUAGGCGGACUCUUAAGUCGGUGGUGAAAUCCUGGAGCUCAAUUCCAGAACUGCCUUUGAUACUGAGGAUCUUGAGUUCGGGAGAGGUGAGUGGAACUGCGAGUGUAGAGGUGAAAUUCGUAGAUAUUCGCAAGAACACCAGUGGCGAAGGCGGCUCACUGGCCCGAUACUGACGCUGAGGCACGAAAGCGUGGGGAGCAAACAGG
RNAcentral lists this ribosomal RNA (253 nucleotides) under uncultured bacterium. RNAcentral describes it as "partial 16S ribosomal RNA". It matches the Rfam family "Bacterial small subunit ribosomal RNA", at positions 524 to 776 of the family's 1533-position model. The record is from RNAcentral.